This is a long non-coding RNA of Nicotiana attenuata, 1594 nucleotides long. RefSeq lists it as uncharacterized. Lineage: Eukaryota; Viridiplantae; Streptophyta; Magnoliopsida; Solanales; Solanaceae. The record is from RefSeq and is a predicted model, not a curated record. The transcript is spliced from 3 exons.
UCGUCACCAACACUUCUCAAAGCUCUCCAGCUCUCCUCCUGUUGAAGUUAAACACGCCGGCGACGGCGGAAGUCCCCGAACUUCUCAUCAAAUUGAAGCAUUCACAUUAGAAUUUUCAUAUCCAUACUGUACGUGUUCACUUGUUUACUGCUCCGCGUUUCGCCUUUCUAAUUAUCUUGGAGAUUCCGAGGUGUAGCUUUGGGAGUCUUCAUACAAGAUACAAAGAUCUGCCUUUGGGAGCUAAAUAUAAGUCUUAGGGAACAUGCUAAAUAUAGCUUAGUGAUUUGCAUUACUCAAGACAACCUGCAGCAAAAGGGGAUUUAUCUGCAGCUGGUGCUAUAUGUGUGAGGAUGCCUCGGAAUCUGUCUAUCACCUUCUCCUACAUUUUAAACUCACAUGGCUUUUAUGGUUAAUGUUUCUAAGCGUUUUUGGAGUACACCACUCUAGGUUUAGGUUAUACCAUGGAACAUUCAGCAAGUUUUAAUCAUUUGGAAUGGGCAGACCACUGCAAAAACUUGCAGGUAACUUUGAAGAUCAGUUUCCUUCUCCAUAUUCUGGAGUAUUUGGCUUGAGAGAAAUAGUAGAUGCUUUUGUGAAAAUGUAGAACAUAUGCCCUCUGUAAAAUAUAAAUGUGUUAAGAAUCUGUUCUUCUGGUGUAAAAGGGAAAAUAGUUACUGAUUUUGUUACUCUGUCUGAUCUUAUGUACUCCUUCAACCUAUAGAAGGAGAAGAACUUCCUUUGUACUUAUACAGCACCUCCUUGGUUCUUAUCAAUAAAACUUUUACCCUCUUAUAGAGAAAUCUUAAGACUAAAAUCCAAGUUUAUCAUUAUGCUAGCAUUUUGAUGCAAGCUAGGAGUUGUUUACAAUGUUGAGAAGUGAUAGAGUUCCUCAGUUCCUUCAAAAUUGUCAAGGAGUUGGAUUUUGUAAUCUCAUAUUAGAGACAGCCGCUAAGAUAGUGCUGUUGUUGAUGCAAUAGAUCAUUAUGUAUUUAUCAGAAUAAAAAAGUUCACUGGUAGUCUCAAGAGUCAUGAAGACUUCUUGCGGUGGAUUUGUUGGAUACUUGGAGUAUUGGAGGUUAGUCUGGUUGUAGUACUUGCAGGCAGAGAGAAGUAUGUAUGAGGUGAGUUGCAAUGUUUCUAAAAACAAAAAGUGCAAAAAAGAGGUCCAUUAGCCUUCAAGCAGAAAAGCAAGAAAUGAUUAAGCGCACAAUUUACAAAGAAAAUAAAAGUACCAAUAUAUAUGAUUAUAGUACUAUAAUAGUAAAUAUCAAUUGAAAUAGCUAAUUCCAGCAUUCAGUAUAUACAGUAAUGUCAAUAUUAGUCCAAUUCAUAAGGUUGAGAUUUAAAGAAUCGACCAUUUCUUGUUGGAAUCACUAUGUGCGUCAUUUGUUGAAGCGCACACUUAUUUAGGCACACGAUUUUGUCAAUGAAGCGAUAACUCCUUGCUUCGCAUUGCUUCAUCGCUUUAAGCAGCGAAUCAAUGUCUUUUAAUAACAUCAGAGCUGACAUUCAUUCUACCGUUCUCUAUGUUACUUCUAUGAAUCCUACAGUAUUCUUGCCAACAAAUAUACUUAUGAUCCAGAUCUUCUGAAGC